GAUGAACGCUAGCGGGAGGCUUAACACAUGCAAGUCGAGGGGUAAAUGGUAGCAAUACUAUGAGACCGGCGGACGGGUGCGUAACGCGUAUGCAACAUACCUUGUGCAGGGGGAUAGCCCGUGGAAACGCGGAUUAAUAUUCCAUAGUCCAGCUAUAUCGCAUGGUAUAGUUGGUAAAGAUUUAUCGGCACAAGUUUGGCAUGCGUCUGAUUAGCUUGUUGGUAGGGUAACGGCCUACCAAGGCUACGAUCAGUAGGGGUUCUGAGAGGAUUAACCCCCACACUGGUACUGAGACACGGACCAGACUCCUACGGGAGGCAGCAGUGAGGAAUAUUGGUCAAUGGGCGCAAGCCUGAACCAGCCAUCCCGCGUGCAGGAAGACGGCCCUAUGGGUUGUAAACUGCUUUUCCAGGGGACGAAUAGUUUCUACGUGUAGAGACCUGACGGUACCUUGGGAAUAAGCAUCGGCUAACUCCGUGCCAGCAGCCGCGGUAAGCUAGUCUACG
Molecule: ribosomal RNA, 506 nt
Filed under: uncultured bacterium
Lineage: Bacteria
Description: bacterial SSU rRNA
Rfam family: Bacterial small subunit ribosomal RNA
Source: RNAcentral